AUGGCAGAAGCAACAACAAUCAAAGGAGCACUAGCCAGAGGGGAAGAGAAAACCGGCCAGAAGCCAUCUGAAGCCAGAGCGAUAAGGCUGUAUGCCCAGAUUCCCCCUGUAGAGAAGAUGGACGCAUCAUUGUCCACACUUUCUAACUGUGAGAAGCUUUCACUGACUACAAACUGCAUUGAAAAAACUGCAAACCUGAAUGACUUAAAAACCUUAAGAAUAUUGUCUUUAGGAAGAAACAACACAAACAACUUAAAUGAACUGGAAGUAGUAGGGGACACAUUAGAAGAACUGUGGAUCCCCUACAAUUUUACUGAGAAGUUGAAAGGGACCCAUGUAAUGAAGAAACUGAAGAUUCUCUACAUGUCUAAUAACCUGGUGAAAGAUGGCUGAAUUUGUGAAGCUGGCAGAACUGCCAUGCCUAGAAGACCUGGUGUUUGUAGGCAAUCUCUUGGAAGAGAAACAUUCUGCUGAGAACUGGAUUGAAGAGGCAACCAAGACAAUGCCCAAACUGAAAAAGCUAGAUGGUACCCCAGUAGUUAAAGAAGAUGAGGAAGAAGAUAACUAA
Molecule: long non-coding RNA, 568 nt
Filed under: Bos taurus (domestic cattle)
Lineage: Eukaryota; Metazoa; Chordata; Mammalia; Artiodactyla; Bovidae
Description: long non-coding RNA NONBTAT017444
Source: RNAcentral